GUGAAUCAUCAAAUUUUUGAACGCAAAUUGCACUUUCUGGUAUUCCGGAAAGUAUGCCUGUUUGAGGGUCAGUUAAAUCAAAAUCGGCGUUGUUGCUGUUUUUCGUGGUGACGCGUCGGAAUUGAGUUGUCUUAUAUUCCGUUAAGUGACUUAAAAUUUUGUAUGAUUUUCGAACGUAUUUAAAUUCUUUACGUAAGAUUGAGAUAUCGAAUA
This 213-nucleotide unclassified non-coding RNA is filed under the name Glomeraceae sp. Its description in RNAcentral is "partial contains 5.8S ribosomal RNA and internal transcribed spacer 2". The stretch from base 1 to 71 matches the Rfam family "5.8S ribosomal RNA", at positions 84 to 154 of the family's 154-position model. Lineage: Eukaryota; Fungi; Glomeromycota; Glomeromycetes; Glomerales; Glomeraceae. The record is from RNAcentral.